CCUACGGGUGGCAGCAGUGGGGAAUAUUGCACAAUGGGGGAAACCCUGAUGCAGCGACGCCGCGUGAAGGAAGAAGUAUUUCGGUAUGUAAACUUCUAUCAGCAGGGAAGAAAAUGACGGUACCUGACUAAGCAGCCCCGGCUAACUACGUGCCAGCAGCCGCGGUAAUACGUAGGGGGCAAGCGUUAUCCGGAUUUACUGGGUGUAAAGGGAGCGUAGGCGGUUUAGCAAGUCAGAAGUGAAAGCCCCGGGCUCAACCCCGGGACUGCUUUUGAAACUGGUGAACUAGAGUGCAGGAGAGGUAAGUGGAAUUCCUAGUGUAGCGGUGAAAUGCGUAGAUAUUAGGAGGAACACCAGUGGCGAAGGCGGCUUACUGGACUGUAAAUGACGCUGAGGCUCGAAAGCGUGGGGAGCAAACAGGAUUAGAUACCCUUGUAGUC
This 440-nucleotide ribosomal RNA is filed under the name uncultured bacterium. RNAcentral describes it as "partial 16S ribosomal RNA". It matches the Rfam family "Bacterial small subunit ribosomal RNA", at positions 338 to 795 of the family's 1533-position model. The record is from RNAcentral.